Molecule: long non-coding RNA, 1628 nt
Filed under: Ictidomys tridecemlineatus (thirteen-lined ground squirrel)
Lineage: Eukaryota; Metazoa; Chordata; Mammalia; Rodentia; Sciuridae
Description: lncRNA (ENSSTOG00000033333.1)
Source: RNAcentral
AUGAAAAGGAGGCACAGGGCGUGGUGUCGAGAGCAGCGACGUUUGGGAGACCAGCUCCCGGAAGCCAAGGAGCCUGGAUUUCCAGAGUCCCGGGGGCGUCUGGUGCCUGCUGCCACAUGGGCACAUAAUAGAGGCUCAAUAAACACCGGAGAGGGAAGGACGGGGAGGACUGGGGACUGCCCCAGGUUAGCUGGUCGCACGCACUCCAAGGUCCAGGGUCUUAACCACUGGGCUACCCGGCCUCCCCACAAGACACCCUGCGGAAUCGGUGGCCUGCUGCCACCACGGACAUCCCAAGUCAGCACCAGCACGGGGCUUCCGGGGGAGGGGUGGCCUCCAUCACAAGGCCAAGAUUUUCUUGGGUUCUGUAAAUGGCUUCCUAAAGUCUCCUCCUUCCCUGGGGGUGGGGGGCGCAGACUUGGGGGCCCUGGCAUGGUCCCCUCCCUGGCUGAGGUCACCCCCUGCACACGAGGGUCAAGUGCACGCCUCACCAAAAUGCAGUGUCCUGCAAAGCCCAGUCGAUCAGGCAGCACCCACGUGCCCCCGUGACCCGGACACUAAGGCAGAGUGGAGCAGAGCCGCGCAGAAAAUUUCCCACGGCAACGGAGCAGCAGGGACAAGGGAUGAGUCCAAGGAGCUCGUGAAUCCAGCUCAGCAGAUCACACUCAGCCUGUCUCAGGACCUUUGCACACGCUGUUCCUGCUGCCUCAUAGACCUCCCCUUGGCCUCCUUGCCCGGCCGACUGUCACUCACUGGAUCUCAGUUUAGACAUUUCUCUAAGGUACCCUUCUGAACCCCGGCUCACCUGACCAGGUGAGUUAACUGUUCAACUCCAUCCCUGAGGGACGGCUUCAUAGCAUCUCCCAGCGUGCACCGAACUUGCCACCUGUGCAAGGGUUUGACUGACACUUGUCUCCUCCUUCAGACGACGCACCCUGUGGGGACAGGGACCGUGCCUGCUUGGUUCAGCCCUGCACCCCCAGCACCUGGCCUAAGGCCUGACACAAAAGGAACGCUCAAUAAAUCCCCACAGUUAAAGGAAUGAGGCAAGAGACCCAAAGCCAGAACAGCUGGUCCCACUGCGGUCCAUUUCUCCAUCCGAGAGAGGGACCGCAAAACCGCCAUCCACAGGGCCCUCCCAAUGCCUCGGUGACAGGUCAGGGCCACAGCGUUCGAGCUGGUGGGGGAGGGCGAUCCGGGGACAUAAACCCACUCCCCUCAGCCCCGCCGCUUGGCGGUGGCCGGUGUCCCUCCUGUCCCACCCAGCGCUGGCUGGGCUCUAAUUGAUUCCUGCCAGACCCCUCUGCAGAAGGGGGAGGCGGUGUUGACGGGGGCAGAGGCAGAGGACAGGCCUAUUCUUCCUGCUGUAUUUAAUGCUGCUGCUAAUCACGGAGAUUAGACUCCAACAAUUACAACAGCUAAUUAAAGAACAAUGCGGUUUUUGGCAUCUUGGCGCAGACGGCACCGCUGGGAAUUCCUAACUCGGGCAAAGCAGGGAUAAUUAAAGCCCAGCUCGGCGCCCCCCCCCCCCACCCUGGCAUCUGGAUCACGCUGAUUAAACUGCAAAUAAAACACAUGAAACCAACACUUUGUAGUCUAUCCAAUUUCACUUAAAGGGGCUUUUAACU